AGAGCUCAGAGAGGCUGAGACAAACCCAGAAACCAACAGCUCUCAGGCUGAAGCUGGUAACCUCCCUGCUCAACAUGAAGGUCUCUGCAGCACUUCUGUGUCUGCUGCUCACAGCAGCCGUCUUCAGCACCCAGGUGCUGGCUCAGCCAGCUUCUGUCCCAACUGUCUGCUGCUUUAAUGUGGCCAGAAGGAAGAUCCCCAUUCAGCGACUGCAGAGCUACAGAAGAAUCACCAACAGCAGAUGUCCCCAGAAAGCUGUGAUCUUCAGCACCAAGCAGGACAAGAAGAUCUGUGUUGCUCCCCAGGAGAAAUGGGUCCAGGAUGCCAUGAAGUACCUGGACCAAAAAGCCCAAACUUUAAAGCCAUAAAUAUUCACCUUUUAAAACCAAACCAGAGCCUCAAAAUGCUUGAUUCAUUCUCCCGGUCUUCCUAAGAUGUAUUCUGAGAUAACCUCAUUCCAAAAGGAAUGGCUUUUAUUUAAUAAUUAAAAAAAAUAUUGCAUAUAAGUUAUUGACUUUUUAAAAAAUUCUCUGCCAUGAAUUUUUGUUACUUUUAAAAUGUAAAGCUUUGGUUGGGUCCCUCCCCCUCUGUGAGCCCCAAUUCAAUCCCCUGCAACAUAUGAGUAAUGUUGUCUCUCUCCUCUUUAAUUCCCUGGAAUCUUCUAAGGGUCCUGGCAAGGAUCAUCGAUACAAAAAGGUUUUGUAUUUAUUUAUUUUUUUUUUUUUUGCGGUACGCGGGCCUCUCACUGCUGUGGCCUCUCCCGUUGCGGAGCACAUGCUCUAGACGCACAGGCUCAGCGGCCAUGGCUCACGGGCCCAGCCGCUCCACGGCAUGUGGGAUCUUCCCGGUCUGGGGCACGAACCCGUGUCCCCUGCAUCGGCAGGCGGACUCUCAACCACUGCACCACCAGGGAAGCCCCGAAAAAUGUUUUGUAUUUUUAAGAAGAUAAUUGCUCUUGUGAACCAAAGGUGUGGCUCAUAAUGUUAAAUGGAAAUACAUGUUAUUUUAGGAAUUCAGAAAAAAAUUUUUUUCUUACAGUC
RNAcentral lists this long non-coding RNA (1040 nucleotides) under Phocoena sinus (vaquita). Its description in RNAcentral is "lncRNA (ENSPSNG00000022359.1)". Lineage: Eukaryota; Metazoa; Chordata; Mammalia; Artiodactyla; Phocoenidae. The record is from RNAcentral.